AGAGUUUGAUCCUGGCUCAGGAUGAACUCUUGCGGCGUGCCUAAUACAUGCAAGUCGAACGAAGAAGCAUGCUUGCUUGCUUCUUAGUGGCGAACGGGUGAGUAAUACAUAAAUAAUCUACCAUAAUGACUGGGAUAACCAAUGGAAACGCUGGCUAAUACCGGAUAGGAAAAACGAGGGCAUCUUUGUUUUAUUAAAGUAGGGCUACUACACAAUAUGAUGAGUUUAUGGCACAUUAGCUAGUUGGUGAGGUAACGGCUCACCAAGGCGAUGAUGCGUAGCCGACCUGAGAGGGUGACCGGCCACACUGGGACUGAGACACGGCCCAGACUCCUACGGGAGGCAGCAGUAGGGAAUUUUCGGCAAUGGGCGCAAGCCUGACCGGGCAACGCCGCGUGAGUGAAGAAGGCCUUCGGGUUGUAAAGCUCUGUUGUAAGGGAAGAACACUUUUUAGAGGAAAUGCUAGAGAGCUGACGGUACCUUACCAGAAGGCCACGGCUAACUACGUGCCAGCAGCCGCGGUAAUACGUAGGUGGCGAGCGUUAUCCGGAAUUAUUGGGCGUAAAGGGUGCGUAGGCGGUUUAUUAAGUCUGUGGUGAAAGUGCGGGGCUCAACCCCGUAUGGCCACAGAAACUGACAGACUAGAGUACAGGAGAGGGCAGUGGAAUUCCAUGUGUAGCGGUAAAAUGCGUAGAUAUAUGGAGGAACACCGGUGGCGAAGGCGGCUGCCUGGCCUGUAACUGACGCUGAGGCACGAAAGCGUGGGGAGCAAAUAGGAUUAGAUACCCUAGUAGUCCACG
Molecule: ribosomal RNA, 800 nt
Filed under: uncultured bacterium
Lineage: Bacteria
Description: bacterial SSU rRNA
Rfam family: Bacterial small subunit ribosomal RNA
Source: RNAcentral